GACGAACGCUGGCGGCGUGCUUAACACAUGCAAGUCGAACGGAAAGGCCCUGCUUUUGUUGGGUGCUCGUUUGGCGAACGGGGGAGUAACACGUGAGUAACCUGCCCUUGACUUUGUGAUAACUUCAGGAAACUGGGGCGAAUACCGGAUAGGAGCUCCUGCUGCAUGUGGUUGGUUGGAAAGUUUCGGCGGUUGUGGCUGGACUCGCGGCUUAUCAGCUGGUUGGGCGGGUAGUGGCGUACCAAGGCUUUGACGGGUAGCCUGCCUGAGAGGGUGAACGGCCACCAUGGGCCUGAGAUACGGAGCAGAAUGCAACGGGCGGCAGUAGUGGAGAACCUUGCACAAUGGGGGGACGCCUGAUGCAGAAAUGCUGGGUGCGGGAUGCCGGCCUUCGGGUGGUAAACAGAUUUCGCCUGUGACGAAGCGUGCGUGACGGUACCGGGUCAAGAAGCAACGGCUAACUACGUG
RNAcentral lists this ribosomal RNA (468 nucleotides) under uncultured bacterium. RNAcentral's name for it is "partial 16S ribosomal RNA". It matches the Rfam family "Bacterial small subunit ribosomal RNA", at positions 28 to 507 of the family's 1533-position model. The record is from RNAcentral.